RNAcentral lists this ribosomal RNA (253 nucleotides) under uncultured bacterium. Its description in RNAcentral is "partial 16S ribosomal RNA". It matches the Rfam family "Bacterial small subunit ribosomal RNA", at positions 524 to 776 of the family's 1533-position model. The record is from RNAcentral.
UACGGAGGAGGCAAGCGUUAUCCGGAAUUAUUGGGCGUAAAGCGUCCGCAGGUGGCACCUCAAGUCUGCUGUCAAAGACCGGGGCUUAACCCCAGAAAGGCAGUGGAAACUGAAGCGCUAGAGUGCAGUAGGGGUAGAGGGAAUUCCCGGUGUAGCGGUGAAAUGCGUAGAGAUCAGGAAGAACAUCGGUGGCGAAGGCGCUCUGCUGGACCAUAACUGACACUCAGGGACGAAAGCUAGGGGAGCGAAUGGG